This 381-nucleotide ribosomal RNA is filed under the name uncultured eukaryote. RNAcentral describes it as "partial 18S ribosomal RNA". It matches the Rfam family "Eukaryotic small subunit ribosomal RNA", at positions 592 to 976 of the family's 1831-position model. The record is from RNAcentral.
CAAUAGCGUAUAUUAAAGUUGUUGCAGUUAAAAAGCUCGUAGUUGGAUUUGUGGUUUGUGGUGGGUUCCGGGCACUUGUUGUCUGAGUAACUUGCCGCUGCCAUCCUUGGGUGGAACCUGUGUGGCAUUAGGUUGUCGUGCAGGGGAUGCCCAUCGUUUACUGUGAAAAAAUUAGAGUGUUCAAAGCAGGCUUAUGCCGUUGAAUAUAUUAGCAUGGAAUAAUGAGAUAGGACUUUUUCGCUAUUUUGUUGGUUUGCGCGAGAAGGUAAUGAUUAAUAGGGACAGUUGGGGGUAUUCGUAUUCCAUUGUCAGAGGUGAAAUUUCUUGGAUUUUUGGAAGACGAACUACUGCGAAAGCAUUUACCAAGGAUGUUUUCAUUAA